RNAcentral lists this ribosomal RNA (442 nucleotides) under Starmerella bacillaris. Its description in RNAcentral is "eukaryotic LSU rRNA". The stretch from base 156 to 304 matches the Rfam family "5.8S ribosomal RNA". The record is from RNAcentral. Lineage: Eukaryota; Fungi; Ascomycota; Dipodascomycetes; Dipodascales; Trichomonascaceae.
UUUCCGUAGGUGAACCUGCGGAAGGAUCAUUUCUGAAGGCUUUUUGCCAAAACCACUGUGAACAGCUUAGACUUCGGUCUUUGCAAUUGCUUGGGUGUCGAAAGGCGCCCAAUCUUUAAAACUUUUAUAUUUGUUCUGAAACAAUGAAAAUUUAAAACUUUCAACAACGGAUCUCUUGGUUCUCGUAUCGAUGAAGAACGCAGCAAAGCGCGAUAGGUAAUGCGAAUUGCAGACGUGAGUCAUUGAAUUUUUGAACGCAUAUUGCGCUAUUAGUUUGUCUAAUAGCAUGCUUGUUGGAGUGAUAAUCUUCCUCUCAACCAUUUUUGGUAUGAGGUCUUGCUCCUUUUAGGAGUUAAAAUCAUGGAAGUGCACACGUUAAUUAACUCUGUGCAGUUAUACACUUUUCAUCCUCCAAUCAAGCAAGGUUACCCGCUGAACUUAA